UACCUCGGCGAGUCUUUGAUUUAACAUACAGAACAAUCUACCCACGACACAGCUUUUUAUUUCACACCUAUCUGCAAUGACCCACAUCCAGGAGCUUCCAAAAGUAGAAACAGAGAGGAGCUAGCCACCAUUUUCUCACUAAGUGCCCUUCAUAUUCUUGAAGAUGACUGUUCUUCAAUCUCCCCUUAAGAUCCACAUCACCACGAUCAAGAAGACUUUCCAAAGAGUAAAAUACAAAUCGAUAUUCAAUUUUCCUCCAAUUAUGAAGAAAUAAACCAACUUCGG
Long non-coding RNA from Suricata suricatta (meerkat), 285 nucleotides. RefSeq lists it as uncharacterized. The transcript has 3 exons. The record is from RefSeq and is a predicted model, not a curated record. Lineage: Eukaryota; Metazoa; Chordata; Mammalia; Carnivora; Herpestidae.